AGAGGGAAUUUGCUCAAGGUCAUUGUUUCCUGGCGAAUGUUGUGCCUUAAUGGCAUUCAGGGCAGCACUGGUGGGAAGGAGCAAAUGAGCCCAGCUGGGACCACCAGCUCUGAGGGUUUUGAGCCUCCACAGUGAAGCCUGGAUCAGCUCAAAACACCUGUCAAGGACAUACCUGAAGAGAGAGAAGUUUAAGCAGUGCUGGCAGACAAGAAACCUGCUUCCCAGCCUGUAUCCUCCGUUGCCUGAAUAUCAUGGGUAUAAGGAAAUGUUUGCCGACUACAGCAUGUCCAAAUGUGAAUUACGACAGAACUGUAAGGGUCUGGGUCCCAGGAACUCAGAAAUCAAAUCUUUCCUUUACCAUCCAAGUGAUGUGCCAAAGAGAUGUGACACUGGCAGGAGUGUGUCUGGCAGACCAGCAGAGCCAGGGACUCUGCAUUGCACUGGCAAGGUCAACAUUGCCAAGAACCCUGACUUAACUCCUUCCUCCAGCUGUGUCCUCUGCAUGAAUACCACACCUGUAUUACAGAAAAAAAAGGAAAAUCUAAAGACCCAAGAUGCGUGUCCCUCACCAGACUUUUGAGAAUGGACAUAAGUGAUGUGACAGUUCAGAAAGUGGGAUGAAAGGCUUUUUAAUAGUACUGACUCUUGCUAACUUAAGACCAAAGUCCAGGUUG
Molecule: long non-coding RNA, 674 nt
Organism: Neopelma chrysocephalum (saffron-crested tyrant-manakin)
Lineage: Eukaryota; Metazoa; Chordata; Aves; Passeriformes; Pipridae
Exons: 3
Source: RefSeq, a predicted model, not a curated record